This is a long non-coding RNA of Homo sapiens (human), 2301 nucleotides long. Ensembl annotates it as long intergenic non-protein coding RNA 1588. NCBI's taxonomy places the organism in Eukaryota, Metazoa, Chordata, Mammalia, Primates, Hominidae. The record is from Ensembl.
GUCCUUAGUACUCUGGUUUCCACAGAAUAAUCCUCAUGCAGUGAGUAGUGGAAGUCAGGAGGAAUAAACUGCCUAGAUGUCAUGAAGGGAAAACAAUGCACAAUAGACUUGUGCAGAAUCUAUUCCUGUCCGUUUCCCUGUGAAUCCAGAUUGCUGAACACUGGCCGAUGUCUGAGCUGUGGUUUCCCCCUGGAUUUGAAAUUUAGUUACUAGAAGACAAUGCUUUUGAAUGGCUUCUUGGCCAUGACUUUCACAGGGCCUGCUGGCUGUUGCCUGAUGAUUGUCUGAUAGGCCUAGCCCCUUGGCAAAGCAAUGUUUCAUUUGCAAAACUACGCUUGUCCGGUGCCUCCUGGGAACUGAAAGCCUGGCAUCAGCAGAGGAACGCAAAUUGGGCAAAUCACGGAUCUCCCAGGCGUGCGUUGCUUGGGGGCCAUGGUACACAGCACUGCUAAAAGUCUAGGACAAUCUAUGUGUUUUAGGAGCAAACCAGUGCCUUGCACUUCUAAGCUGUAUCCUUUGCUCCCUCCCUGAGAGGCAGCCGUGUGCUCUGGGCUUCCUAGCCUUGUAUGACCUCUGAAAAUAUGACCUGAAGCAGAUGGAUGCACUCACAUAAGAAACAUCACCUGUGGCCUUCAUCGAAAAUGGGCCUGCUGCUUGAAGAAGUUGGGCUCUUGGAGUUCUCUAGCACAGGGGCCAUGAAAAUCAAUGACUUCCUUGUUUGCUGACGGAGCAGAGGUAGAAUCUCUUGGUGUUUCCACGGAGAAAACACUGACCAUGAAGAGCCAAGAAAGAUGACAUGAUGAAGCCAUCAGGGGAAGCACCAAACAUCCUCAACUCUGCUCACCCAUGGUUUUCUCCCGCCCUCCCAGAGCUCCUCCUGCGUGAGUAAUGCAGUGUGUGCUGGUGCAGUGUCUCACUGAAAAAAGAAAGAAACCCUGAUUUGCAGCAUUGGCCAAUUUCUGUAGUGUAAAUACUCCCACCAUAGCAGAUUUCAGGUUACCAAGGGUUUCACAACUGGUUCACAAGUCUUGACUGUAAUGACCAGCUCAUGCAACUCCAGCAUCUCAUCAUCUCCGCCCUGUCCCAGAAAAUCCCCACAUCACACCCAGGCUGAAUAUCACUUUCAGCUUCUCAGUCAGAAGGAGAAGUGGUUAACUAUGCCAGGAUGGUAAUGACUAAAUAUCAGAAUGGUGAGUGUGGAGGGUCAGGAUGUCUGCCAAAUUGGAGAUGACUCUUCACUUCUCAAUCUUGGUGUCUCAUCUGGGGAAGCUGGAGGGAGACAUGCACAGCUUCUCAUGAACAGUCCUGGAAGCCCUUACCCCAAGGCCUCAUGGGGCUCUCUCCAGGGCUUGCUCUUUGUCACUCCUUUAAAAGCCUGUCAUUCAUUGCCAGAGAACAGAAGACUCCAUCCUAAGGCCAAGUUGAAAACGGCAGGCUUGGGAGCUGUCUAGACUCUGGGUCCUGGCUUUUGUCUUGGCUGGUGUCAAAAUGGACUCUUUAAAAACUGUCCUCAGGAAGAUUCCCCAUCCAACUCUGAACAGCCUGGACUGAUCUUUUUCUGAUUUUUAGGGGUCUUGUGAACAAGAGUCAGGUGGGCGGGCAGCUCUUGUAAAGCUGAACAUAACCAAAUUUGUCCAUAGCCUGUGACAGCAAAGAUCACAAAAUUCUUCCCUCCCCUUUAGGGCCUGGGAGUGACGCCGAACCAAGGGGAGGAUAGUGACCUAUUUUAUCUCCCAAACAUUGGGCAGCCAGUUGCAUUUGCAGAUUUAAAAUCCACCCACACUACUGCAGUUUCUGUUCUCCUGCCCCCCCGAGCAUACUUCUGGCUGGAGCUGGUUUUGUAAAGUGGAGUUGGCUGUGGGUGUGGGAGUCCUCCUCGGAGAGCCUGGUCUGACAGCCCCAGUCAACAGCCCUCCCAUGGGCAUUUGGGCUGCUCCAGUCCCGGCAGGUGCACAGCUCAGGGGAAUCUGGUUUUGUCUUGGUCUCAGCCAGGGAAGUCUAGUUAAAGAAAGAAAAGGUUGGCCGGGUGCAGAGGCUCACACCUGUAAUCCCAGCACUUUGGGAGGCUGAGAUGGGCAGAUCACGAGGUCAGGAGUUUGAGACCAGCAUGGCCAACAUGGUGAAACCCCGUCUCUACUAAAAAUACAAAAAUUAGCUGGGCGUGGUGGCAGAUGCCUGUAAUCCCAGCUACUUGGGAGGCUGAGGCAGGAGAAUUGCUUGAAACCAGAAGGUGGAGGUUGCAGUGAGCCGAGAUCGCGCCACUGCACUCCAGCCUGGGCAACAAGAACAAAACUCUGUCUC